RNAcentral lists this ribosomal RNA (468 nucleotides) under uncultured bacterium. RNAcentral's name for it is "partial 16S ribosomal RNA". It matches the Rfam family "Bacterial small subunit ribosomal RNA", at positions 28 to 507 of the family's 1533-position model. The record is from RNAcentral.
GACGAACGCUGGCGGCGUGCUUAACACAUGCAAGUCGAACGGAAAGGCCCUGCUUUUGUGGGGUGCUCGAGUGGCGAACGGGUGAGUAACACGUGAGUAACCUGCCCUUGACUUUGGGAUAACUUCAGGAAACUGGGGCUAAUACCGGAUAGGAGCUCCUGCUGCAUGGUGGUGUUUGGAAAUUUUCGGCGGUUGGGGAUGGGCUCGCGGCUUAUCAUCUUGUUGGUGGGGUAGUGGCUUACCAAGGCUUUGACGGGUAGCCGGCCUGAGAGGGUGACCGGCCACAUUGGGACUGAGAUACGGCACAGAAUCCUACGGGAGGCAGCAGUGGGGAAUAUUGCACAAUGGGCGGAAGCCUGAUGCAGCAACGCAGCGUGCGGGAUGACGGCCUUCGGGUUGUAAACCGCUUUCGCCUGUGACGAAGCGUGAGUGACGGUAAUGGGUAAAGAAGCACCGGCUAACUACGUG